This 236-nucleotide RNase P RNA is filed under the name Candidatus Aenigmatarchaeota archaeon. RNAcentral describes it as "RNase P RNA component". It matches the Rfam family "Archaeal RNase P". Rfam says of the family: Ribonuclease P (RNase P) is a ubiquitous endoribonuclease, found in archaea, bacteria and eukarya as well as chloroplasts and mitochondria. The record is from RNAcentral. Lineage: Archaea; Nanobdellati; Candidatus Aenigmatarchaeota.
GUAGGUAGCUGGGCGACUACCGUAAGGAGGAAAUUCUCCCCAUCGAUGCUAAAAGGGGCUAAUAAACCCUGCUCGGGCGUCAGAAAAAAAACCUAUGCAUACUCAAUGAUAAUGAUGCCAAAAGCUGAUGAGAUAUGCAUAGGAUGAAAUUGCCCGAGCGGCAAAUGAGAUGCAAGCCUUUAAGGCGCUUAGAAGAAUGCCGCCUUAAAAACAGAAGGGAGAUUACAGCUACCUAC